RNAcentral lists this ribosomal RNA (246 nucleotides) under uncultured bacterium. RNAcentral's name for it is "partial 16S ribosomal RNA". It matches the Rfam family "Bacterial small subunit ribosomal RNA", at positions 531 to 776 of the family's 1533-position model. The record is from RNAcentral.
GGGGCGAGCGUUGUUCGGAAUCAUUGGGCGUAAAGGGCGCGUAGGUGGUUUUGUAUGUCUACCGUGAAAGCGUACGGCUCAACCGUAUUUUGUCGGUAGAAACUGCAGGACUUGAGGCUGGGAGGGGCUGGCGGAAUUCCCUGUGUAGCGGUGAAAUGCGUAGAGAUGGGGGAGAACACUCGUGGCGAAGGCGGCCAGCUAGACCAGUUCUGACACUGAGGCGCGAUAGCGUGGGGAGCAAACAGG